GGAGGGAAUUGUGGGGGAGAUCAGAGGUGCAGCUCUGCUGGAGAGACCUGAGGCUUGCAACGCUGGGCCCGGCCGAGUCGCUGCGGCUGGGCUGGAGGUGAGGCGAAAGAAGGGCAUCCUCUGAUGGGAGUGGACCGGAGUCCGCUAAAGCGAAACAUUCCAGGGUUCGUUGCGGGAAAUACAGUCUGGUUUUGCCCCCCGUAUUAAUUGAGGGAAGGUCAAGGAUGCAUUCCAGGAAAGUUCCAUAAAAAUAUACCAUCAACUCCAACCUGAUAUUUGACCUAGCUGUGGAAAACCUCAUUGGCUCCUCACUAGAUCAGACCAUAAAAAUGAUUCAGGAAUGAAAAUCUAAGAUAAAUUCCCACCACUUCAAGAUGUUCUUAUACAAGUCAACAGUCUAGCAGAUCAGCCAGUCUCUUUCAUCAUCAAGCAGACAUACUCAAGAAAGAGGAAUAGUGAAGUGAAAUAUACAGAAGCAUGUUCAAGUUCAUCUGUUGAAUGUGGAAUUGUGAAUAGUGACAAUAUUGAGAAAAAUACUGACUCCAAUCUGCAAACUUCAACUUCAUUUGAGCCACAUUUCAAAAAAAAAAAAGUAAGUGCAAGACGUUAUAAUGAAGAUUACUUAAAAUAUGGCUUUAUCAAAUGUGAAAAACCCUUUGAAAAUGACAGACCUCAGUGUGUUAUUUGUAAUAAUAUUCUUGCGAAUGAAAGCUUAAAACCUUCGAAAUUAAAAAGGCACUUAGAAACUC
Molecule: small RNA, 749 nt
Filed under: Pongo abelii (Sumatran orangutan)
Lineage: Eukaryota; Metazoa; Chordata; Mammalia; Primates; Hominidae
Description: processed transcript
Source: RNAcentral